UGGGAAUUUUGGACAAUGGACGCAAGUCUGAUCCAGCCAUGCCGCGUGCGGGAAGAAGGCCUUCGGGUUGUAAACCGCUUUUGUCAGGGAAGAAACGAGUUUCUCUAAUACAGAGACUUAAUGACGGUACCUGAAGAAUAAGCACCGGCUAACUACUUGCCAGCACCCGCGGUAAUACGUAGGGUGCAAGCGUUAAUCGGAAUUACUGGGCGUAAAGCGUGCGCAGGCGGUUAUGCAAGACAGAGGUGAAAUCCCCGGGCUCAACCUGGGAACUGCCUUUGUGACUGCAUAGCUAGAGUACGGUAGAGAGGGAUGGAAUUCCGCGUGUAGCAGUGAGAUGCGUAGAUAUGCGGAGGAACACCGAUGGCGAAGGCAAUCCCCUGGACCUGUACUGACGCUCAUGCACGAAAGCGUGGGGAGCAAACA
This 426-nucleotide ribosomal RNA is filed under the name uncultured bacterium. RNAcentral describes it as "bacterial SSU rRNA". It matches the Rfam family "Bacterial small subunit ribosomal RNA", at positions 356 to 774 of the family's 1533-position model. The record is from RNAcentral.